Molecule: long non-coding RNA, 1534 nt
Organism: Eriocheir sinensis (Chinese mitten crab)
Lineage: Eukaryota; Metazoa; Arthropoda; Malacostraca; Decapoda; Varunidae
Exons: 3
Source: RefSeq, a predicted model, not a curated record
AAUGUUUAAAAUGCCCCCAUGUAUAAAAACAUUUUGUCAAUCUAGUCAAGGACUGACUUACAAGCAUUGUAUUUCUAAGAUAUGUGGCUAACUUAUUAAAUGCUACAAUGUGUGUGUGUGUAAAAAAUGUAGAGCAGUAGCAUGUAGCUUAUUCAUUUAUGGCGUGUGUGUGCAAUUAUAUGUAGUUAUUAAGAACAGGAUUUUUUUUUUUUUCGUGCGAUGUGACCGGGUGGGUGUGAGUUUGUUCACGCUUUCCUAUGUGUAAAAAAAAUGUAGAGAAGUAGUAUAUAGCUUAUUCAUUUAUGGCGUGUGUGUGUAGUUAUAUGUAGUUAUUAAGAACAGGAUUCUGUUUUUUUUUUUUUUUUUCGUGCGACGUGACCGGGUGGGUGUGAGUUUGUUCACGCUUUCCUAUUGUUCGGAUGAAGAAUGGCUUGUGGUUUUGGGCAUGUGCGCGCGUGUUUGCAUACAUGUGUGGGCGUGUCCCCUAUAACCUGGGGUAGCCUCGGAAGAAGAAAAGGCUUGUGGUAGUGUGCGCAUAUGCCCCAAAUAACCCCGGGUAGCUUAGUCAGUCCCCUAACGUUGCGAGAGGAGCGUCAUGGAGGAAGUCUUCGCCGUCAUGAACUUACAACAACAACAACAACAACAGCCCCACGCUGCCGCUGCAAUUCUUCAUGCUGACGAUGUUGACGAUCAGAUAAUGGGUCAAGCCGCAUUAGAAGUUGAAGCCAUGGAUAACACAUCCCAAGCUGAAGCCGUGGAUAACACAUCACAUCCCAGAAACGGAGCGGAUGUUGGUGGUGGUGAGGUGGGGGAUGUUCCAGAAACUCCCAAGUCUACCGGUGAACAUAUCACGGGCGAGUCAUUGGGCAACAACAACCGCGGCGCGUUGGGAGGUGUCGGUAAAAUGGGGCGGCGUGUGCUGAGGGAAGGAUGUGAUACCUCCAUUACCAGUGUCUCAUCUGAAGAACGACCCACCGGACAGCGUAACGCAUAUCCACGGCAACAACAACAGACACGCUUCGGUGAUGGUGUGUCUUGACUCUCCGUCGGGCGCUGAAUCGCGAGAGCGGCGGCGAAGUCGUCUGCAGCAAAAAGAUCAUGAAAUGCGUCAAUCACGACUGGAAAAAAAAAUGCAGCAUAUGGCGGAAGUGUUGCGGCCGCGCCCACUUCUGACUUGACAUACCCCGCUUGACCUUUCUUGGAAGUGUCAUAGGCGGGGUGGGUGGUGGGGAAGUUACUAAAAUCCAUUAUGGAUUUUAUGAGUGGAAGCGAAUAAAAUUCACUAAUGUCUUGGAAGUUAGAGAUGCAUAUGGUGGCCGAAUCUGUGAGAGUCCUAUAUUUAGUGCUUAACAAUCUUUUUUUUAUAUAUGUACUCGCUCUGUGUGUAUUAUUUUUUAUAUAUAUAUGUGCUUGUGUUGUGUAUUUUUUUUCUUCAUUUGUAUAUGUACUCGUGUUGUCAUCCUUUUAUGGGCUGUCUUUGGGCAUGUACGACAUAAGUUUGUAAUAUGUCUCUUUCAAUUAGGAUUUAUUUUGG